UGGGUAACCUGCCUCAAAAGAGGGGAAUAGCCUCCCGAAAGGGAGAUUAAUACCGCAUAAUAUGUUUAAGUCGCAUGACUUUAACAUCAAAGGAUUUUCUUUUAAGAAAUUCCACUUUGAGAUGGACCCGCGGCGCAUUAGCUAGUUGGUGAGGUAACGGCUCACCAAGGCAACGAUGCGUACGCCGGCCUGAGGAGGGUGAUCCGGCCCAACUAGUUGGAACUGAAGACCGACGGUCCAGCCUCCGUAGGGACG
Molecule: ribosomal RNA, 255 nt
Filed under: uncultured bacterium
Lineage: Bacteria
Description: partial 16S ribosomal RNA
Rfam family: Bacterial small subunit ribosomal RNA (bases 1-209)
Source: RNAcentral